This 497-nucleotide ribosomal RNA is filed under the name uncultured bacterium. RNAcentral describes it as "partial 16S ribosomal RNA". It matches the Rfam family "Bacterial small subunit ribosomal RNA", at positions 28 to 507 of the family's 1533-position model. The record is from RNAcentral.
GAUGAACGCUGGCGGCGUGCCUAAUACAUGCAAGUCGAGCGAACAGACGAGGAGCUUGCUCCUCUGACGUUAGCGGCGGACGGGUGAGUAACACGUGGAUAACCUACCUAUAAGACUGGGAUAACUUCGGGAAACCGGAGCUAAUACCGGAUAAUAUAUUGAACCGCAUGGUUCAAUAGUGAAAGACGGUUUUGCUGUCACUUAUAGAUGGAUCCGCGCCGCAUUAGCUAGUUGGUAAGGUAACGGCUUACCAAGGCAACGAUGCGUAGCCGACCUGAGAGGGUGAACGGCCACACUGGAACUGAGACACGGUCCAGACUCCGACGGGAGGCAGCAGUAGGGAAUCUUCCGCAAUGGGGGAAAGCCUGACGGAGCAAAGCCGCGUGAGUGAUGAAGGUCUUCGGAUCGUAAAACGCUGUUAGUAGGGAAGAACAAAUGUGUAAGUAACUAUGCACGUAUUGACGGUACCUAAUCAGAAAGCCACGGCUAACUACGUG